This 241-nucleotide ribosomal RNA is filed under the name uncultured Lactobacillus sp. RNAcentral describes it as "partial 16S ribosomal RNA". It matches the Rfam family "Bacterial small subunit ribosomal RNA", at positions 122 to 355 of the family's 1533-position model. The record is from RNAcentral. Lineage: Bacteria; Bacillati; Bacillota; Bacilli; Lactobacillales; Lactobacillaceae.
CAAUCUGCCCUAAAGACUGGGAUACCACUUGGAAACAGGUGCUAAUACUGGAUAACAACAUGAAUCGCAUGAUUCAAGUUUGAAAGGCGGCGCAAGCUGUCACUUUAGGAUGAGCCCGCGGCGCAUUAGCUAGUUGUGGGGUAAAGGCCUACCAAGGCAAUGAUGCGUAGCCUAGUUGAGAGACUGAUCGGCCACAUUGGGACUGAGACACGGCCCAAACUCCGUACGGGAGGCAGCAGCC